CUGAGAUUCUUUUUAUGCUUCUACUAAAAAUACCAGCAGACAGCGAAAUGCCGAGUCUGGAGAAGGGAGGUCAAACUCUUGGGCAGCCAGAAGGCCUCCGUGUUGCAGAAAGCCCUCAACAAAAGAAAUAUUUUGUUUAGAUGAAACUUCACCAGCACAGUGAAAUCACUCCAAAAUACGAGCUAAGAGCACACCUGCUCUGGGAGGCUCUCAGAGGGGGUUUGCCCACCCUGUCCCGGCUCAUCGGGUCGCUGUCCUUAACCACUGGCACGGACCUUCUUCCUGCCCUGUCUCUUGGGCACCAGAAGCCCCAUCUCCAAGCUCCCACAGUGAAAGUGACUGUGAAGUAAAACCCAGGCCGCCGGGAUGCACACACGCAGGAUUUGGGGGAGUCUGUAAGUACACGCUCAGGACUUUCCUGGACCUGUUUUCUCCCGGCAGUGACCCUGCGUCUGAGCCUGACAAAUGCCCGCGGCGGCAGCCAGGACAGAGCUGCCCUCCUCCAGACAGCGACGCACAGGCUGACCUUCUAUGUCUAUGAACUUGAUCUGUCCCUCAGUGAACACGAUUCUCCUUUGGCAGGUUCCAGGGGCCAGAGCAAAAGGCAGGAUGGGUUUGAAUCUGCUCUCAAUUAGGCGUGCUGUGUUGUAAAGAAAGCAAGCCUCCUCGCAGAAAAACCAGUGCGACAGGAUGCAGUCGCUAAAGCAGAGGAAGGAAAACACAAACUAGAUGUUAAAAGAAAAAAAAAGAACCCACUUCAGGUCAGAUGCUGUGGGGCCCGAGAGGGCUCAGCAUCCAGAGGAGGGCGAAGGGCGCAGGGAUCCUGGUACCGGUUCAGUUCGUGCAGAGCUGCGUGCGCCCGCCCACCACCCUCCCGGGUCCGAGUACUCCCCUGGCUGUUCCCACCCCCAGUCCUCUCGGAGAGCCCAGUCCUGGGGGAUUUGAGAGGAGGCUCCCCCGCACCGUUGCCCGAAGGCCGAAGACUAACCCAGCCCCAGGGCGGGGCUUCCUUGCAACCUCAGCACAUCACACCAGGUGUUAUGGAUUCCUGGAACCAGCCAGAGGCUUGGCCUGGCGGAAGUCAUCUCAGCCAGGACUGGACAUCCCACCACCCCGAACCACAGAUGCCAAUGCCUGGUGUGGUGAGAGGACCUGGAAGGGAAGACAGAGCCCUGCCCUCAAGGGGAUGGAGGUCCCAGGCUGGGCUGGGGUCCGAUGGGUCUAA
Long non-coding RNA from Bos indicus x Bos taurus (hybrid cattle), 1225 nucleotides. The record is from Ensembl. Lineage: Eukaryota; Metazoa; Chordata; Mammalia; Artiodactyla; Bovidae.